This 85-nucleotide non-coding RNA is filed under the name uncultured Prevotella sp. Lineage: Bacteria; Pseudomonadati; Bacteroidota; Bacteroidia; Bacteroidales; Prevotellaceae. The record is from RNAcentral.
AUUCAAGGGGUGCCUGCCGUGGGCAGGCUGAGAUGAUACCCUCUAUGACCUGAUGCGGGUAAUGCCGACGUAGGGAUGGAUAGAU